AGCACAGACAAAUUGUCAGCAGCUGUGCUCCCCAGGUGAUCAGAAGGGGUGGAAUCAGAGUAGGACCUCCCUGGGCACAUAUAAAAGCCAGCCACUGAAGGGAGAGCAGCUCUUGGACCUGGUUUGCUUCUUGAGGAGUGCUGCACAGCCAGAGAGCCCCUUUGCUAUCUGGAGAUGUGAGAUGGAUCCCUGGUUGACUCUAUUUGUCUGCCUGUUUGAAUUUAUGCUGGUCGUCAAAAUAAAAAGCCUGGGGAAACCACUGAGUUGUGAACGUGAGAGGCAGCUCCUCCAGACUUCUCUGCAAAGAAGCCUGCAAAGGAGUUACAGAUGGGGACACCAGCUACCUGAUCUCUGAAAUGCCAAGGUCUUGCUGCAUGUCACGACAGCAGAUGCUAGCAUGGGUUGUACCUUGCUACAGGAAUCUCUUCAGAGCAGGCAUUCUGCAGACAGAUAUCUGCUCCAAAGAGAAAACUAUGGGUGAUCUGAAUGGUUGGUGCUGUCCUCUGAAGUGGGAGACAGGCCGCAUUUACCUUUUCAGAGAAGUCAGAAUAUAUUGAUGCAAAUUGCCUGGAAACACCUUCAAGCUCUCAAGAUGUGCUUUUACCUGUUUUGAAAUUUUUGACACCCUUCUUUGGUGACAGCAAUGUAUAAUUCCACCAAGAAGUACUGGAGGGUAACAAAAGUAUCACAAAGUGCCUGUUCUCAUACUUUCUGCCAGCCACUGCUCUUUGUGAUGUUCGGAAUAACAGGCUGUUGCCCAGUGAGCCCUUUUUGUCCUUAUUUGCUCUCCUGGCCGAAGCACACACGGCUUGGCUCUCUCGAGAACAUCAAUAAUACUUUGCCUAUUGACAGCAGCUGGGGAUAGGAGCAAAGUAUGAAGUUCAUUAAAGCACAUGGAGUAGCAGGUAGAUAAGCAAUGCAAUUCACUUUGCAGAUUUCAGAGAAUGACUCCCCCAGCAAGCUAGUGCCCAUGCUGGAGCUAUAGGAUGAAACUAUUUAUUGUACACUGCAUGUGAGAAAUACAAGUUUUAUAAAUCAGAUCUCUCCUGUGAGUUGACUCGGUGGCCCUGUCCUGAGAGUUUUCCUCCAGAAGGACCCCUGAGGGAUAUCUCGACUUUAACUAACAAGUCCUGACAACAUUGAGGCUGCAGUUCUACACUUACGAUUCAUGGUUAAGAAAUUCACUUUAGAAAUAAGAAAUUGCAUAUUCAUUUCAUUUCUCAUUAUGAAAAAGGUUUCAAUUGGCUUUAUUCCCUCUACUCCCUUGGAUGAUUGCAGCAACUGAAAAUGUUCUGCCUUACAAGUGACAUAUUCCAGCAGAUAGGAUGGUGCUGCCAAAUAAUUAUCAAAAAGGAGCCUUUGGCAUGGAUAAGGGCACUUUGCACUGCUAGCAAGACAAGCUCAUAUGCCUUCAGGUCUGCUUUUGGUACCUCUUGCCACACCUUUUGACCACGUUUUGGAGAACAUAGCUAUGAAUUUAUCACCAACGCAUCCCUCAGAUAGUGCAUCUGGCACCAGCAGGUUGAUCCAAGCCUGUGCAAUUCACAGAAAGGGAAAUGAAAAUGCUGAAAAACUGAUUUGCCAGAAAAAAAAAAAGGAGCCUCAGCAUGGGGAGGAGGUCUGGGGAAACUGAUGCUGUGUGUGCCAGAGCUGAAACAUGAGCUAUAAUAAAAGGCAGCUCACUGAAUGGUCAGAGUUACAGCAGCUGUUUCCUUGUGAUUGCUGCUUCACAUCUAAUUAGUCCUCAGCAAGUUUUAAGACCAUUCUCAACUAUGAUGAGCAUAUAUUUGAGAGGGAUAAAGGAAACGUGAUUUGCUUUUGCAGGACCUGAGGUGCCCUGCAGGCUGCACUGAAAUCACUGGGAGCUGUGAGCAAUCACCAUCCUUUGAAAAGUCUGAAAUUGAGCAUUCAGGGAGUAAAUUAAGGACAGAGAUCCCUGAUCCCAGCUAGGCCAUAGGAAAGCUGAUGUGGGGAGAGUCUUCUGUCAUGCGUGUUGUAAAGUGAAUUAUUAAAUUUUUAUGCUGGAGAGAUUUUGUUCUUAAGGUUGGCAAAGAUGGAAUGUAUUUCCCUACUUUUUUAUUUUUGAUUCGUUUGCUCUUCUACCCAUGUUGCAAAAUAAGGUUCCUUGAUCAGUUACUGGUGAACAAGAUACUCUCUUCAUUAUGAAGUUUGGUCUCUGUAGGAGUUUACUGGUCUUUCUUCAAAUGCCUGGAAAUGAUUUCUGGGCUCAAGGGAAGGAUGGAGAAAGAGGAGCUUUGACGUGAGGCGUUGGCUGUUCUCAGGAGGAACGUGUGCUAAUGCAU
Molecule: long non-coding RNA, 2303 nt
Organism: Tympanuchus pallidicinctus (lesser prairie-chicken)
Lineage: Eukaryota; Metazoa; Chordata; Aves; Galliformes; Phasianidae
Exons: 4
Source: RefSeq, a predicted model, not a curated record